GCCAGGUGUGGCGGUGCACGCCUGUAAUCCCAGUAGCUUGGGAGACUAAGGCAGGAGAAUUGAGAGUUCAAAGCCAGUCUCAGCAAUUUAGUGAGGCCCUAGGCAACUUAGUGAGACCCUGUCUCUA
RNAcentral lists this small RNA (127 nucleotides) under Marmota monax (woodchuck). The record is from RNAcentral. Lineage: Eukaryota; Metazoa; Chordata; Mammalia; Rodentia; Sciuridae.